This 72-nucleotide transfer RNA is filed under the name Strongylocentrotus purpuratus (purple sea urchin). It matches the Rfam family "tRNA". From Rfam's summary of the family: Transfer RNA (tRNA) molecules are approximately 80 nucleotides in length. Their secondary structure includes four short double-helical elements and three loops (D, anti-codon, and T loops). The record is from Rfam by way of RNAcentral. Lineage: Eukaryota; Metazoa; Echinodermata; Echinoidea; Camarodonta; Strongylocentrotidae.
GCCGUGAUGGCUCAGUGGUAGAGCAGUGGUCUCGUCACCGAGAGGUCCUGGGUUCGAAACCAAGUCAAUGCG